Molecule: ribosomal RNA, 253 nt
Filed under: uncultured bacterium
Lineage: Bacteria
Description: partial 16S ribosomal RNA
Rfam family: Bacterial small subunit ribosomal RNA
Source: RNAcentral
UACGUAGGCAGCGAGCGUUGUUCGGGGUUACUGGUCGUAAAGAGUGCGUAGGCGGUUUUCUAAGUUUGGUGUGAAAUCUCCCGGCUCAACUGGGAGGGUGCGCCGAAAACUGGAGAGCUUGAGUAUGGGAGAGGAAAGCGGAAUUCCUGGUGUAGCGGUGAAAUGCGUAGAUAUCAGGAGGAACACCUGUGGUGUAGACGGCUUUCUGGACCAUCACUGACGCUGAGACACGAAAGCGUGGGGAGCAAACAGG